Molecule: ribosomal RNA, 406 nt
Filed under: uncultured bacterium
Lineage: Bacteria
Description: bacterial SSU rRNA
Rfam family: Bacterial small subunit ribosomal RNA
Source: RNAcentral
GUGGGGAAUAUUGCACAAUGGGGGAAACCCUGAUGCAGCGACGCCGCGUGAGUGAAGAAGUAUUUCGGUAUGUAAAGCUCUAUCAGCAGGGAAGAACAUGACGGUACCUGACUAAGAAGCCCCGGCUAACUACGUGCCAGCAGCCGCGGUAAUACGUAGGGGGCAAGCGUUAUCCGGAUUUACUGGGUGUAAAGGGAGCGUAGACGGCAGAGCAAGUCUGAAGUGAAAGCCCGCGGCUCAACUGCGGGACUGCUUUGGAAACUGCCCGGCUAGAGUGCUGGAGAGGUAAGCGGAAUUCCUAGUGUAGCGGUGAAAUGCGUAGAUAUUAGGAGGAACACCAGUGGCGAAGGCGGCUUACUGGACAGUAACUGACGUUGAGGCUCGAAAGCGUGGGGAGCAAACAGGA